This 497-nucleotide ribosomal RNA is filed under the name uncultured Lachnospiraceae bacterium. Its description in RNAcentral is "partial 16S ribosomal RNA". Lineage: Bacteria; Bacillati; Bacillota; Clostridia; Lachnospirales; Lachnospiraceae. The record is from RNAcentral.
CACGUAGUUAGCCGGGGCUUCUUAGUCAGGUACCGUCAUUUUCUUCCCUGCUGAUAGAGCUUUACAUACCGAAAUACUUCUUCACUCACGCGGCGUCGCUGCAUCAGGGUUCCCCCAUUGUGCAAUAUUCCCCACUGCUGCCUCCCGUAGGAGUUUGGGCCGUGUCUCAGUCCCAAUGUGGCCGGUCACCCUCUCAGGUCGGCUACUGAUCGUCGGCUUGGUGGGCCGUUACCCCGCCAACUACCUAAUCGGACGCGGGUCCAUCCUGUACCACCGGAGUUUUCACACCGGACCAUGCGAUCCUGUGCGCUUAUGCGGUAUUAGCAGUCAUUUCUAACUGUUGUCCCCCUGUACAGGGCAGGUUACCCACGCGUUACUCACCCGUCCGCCACUCAGUCAUCCCGGAUUCCAUCCGAAAACUUCCUCCGGCACGCUUCGUUCGACUUGCAUGUGUUAGGCACGCCGCCAGCGUUCAUCCUGAGCCAGGAUCAAACUCU